GCGUAGAUAUUGGGAAGAACACCAGUGGCGAAAGCGCUCGACUGGGCCUGCACUGACACUGAGGGACGAAAGCUAGGGGAGCGAAAGGGAUUAGAUACCCCUGUAGUCCUAGCCGUAAACGAUGGAUACUAGGUGUUGCUCGUCAUCGACCCGAGCAGUGCCGUAGCCAACGCGUUAAGUAUCCCGCCUGGGGAGUACGCUCGCAAGAGUGAAACUCAAAGGAAUUGGCGGGGGCCCGCACAAGCGGUGGAGUAUGUGGUUUAAUUCGAUGCAACGCGAAGAACCUUACCAGGGCUUGACAUGUCCGGAACCUUGCCGAAAGGUGAGGGUGCCUACGGGAACCGGAGCACAGGUGGUGCAUGGCUGUCGUCAGCUCGUGUCGUGAGAUGUUGGGUUAAGUCCCGCAACGAGCGCAACCCACGUUCUUAGUUGCCAGCAUUCAGUUGGGCACUCUAGGGAGACUGCCGGUGACAAACCGGAGGAAGGUGUGGAUGACGUCAAGUCAGCAUGCCCCUUACGUCCUGGGCUACACACGUACUACAAUGCUGUGGACAAAGGGCAGCCAGCCGGCGACGGUGAGCUAAUCCCAUAAACCACGGCACAGUUCAGAUUGCAGGCUGCAACUCGCCUGCAUGAAGGAGGAAUCGCUAGUAAUCGCAGGUCAGCAUACUGCGGUGAAUACGUUCCCGGGCCUUGUGCACACCGCCCGUCACACCAUGGGAGUUGGUUUUGCCCGAAGUCGUUACUCCAACCUGCGGGGGGGGACGC
RNAcentral lists this ribosomal RNA (768 nucleotides) under uncultured organism. Its description in RNAcentral is "bacterial SSU rRNA". It matches the Rfam family "Bacterial small subunit ribosomal RNA", at positions 688 to 1456 of the family's 1533-position model. The record is from RNAcentral.